This 246-nucleotide ribosomal RNA is filed under the name uncultured bacterium. Its description in RNAcentral is "partial 16S ribosomal RNA". It matches the Rfam family "Bacterial small subunit ribosomal RNA", at positions 107 to 353 of the family's 1533-position model. The record is from RNAcentral.
UGAGUAAUGUCUGGGAAACUGCCUGAUGGAGGGGGAUAACUACUGGAAACGGUAGCUAAUACCGCAUAACGUCGCAAGACCAAAGAGGGGGACCUUCGGGCCUCUUGCCAUCAGAUGUGCCCAGAUGGGAUUAGCUAGUAGGUGGGGUAACGGGCUCACCUAGGCGACAAUCCCUAGCUGGUCUGAGAGGAUGACCAGCCACACUGGAACUGAGACACGGUCCAGACUCCUACGGGAGGCAGCAUG